UGUGAGCUCGAUGAGUAGGGCGGGACACGUGGUAUCCUGUCUGAAUAUGGGGGGACCAUCCUCCAAGGCUAAAUACUCCUGACUGACCGAUAGUGAACCAGUACCGUGAGGGAAAGGCGAAAAGAACCCCGGCGAGGGGAGUGAAAAAGAACCUGAAACCGUGUACGUACAAGCAGUGGGAGCCUCUUAAUGGGGUGACUGCGUACCUUUUGUAUAAUGGGUCAGCGACUUAUAUUCUGUAGCAAGGUUAACCGAAUAGGGGAGCCGAAGGGAAACCGAGUCUUAACUGGGCGUUAAGUUGCAGGGUAUAGACCCGAAACCCGGUGAUCUAGCCAUGGGCAGGUUGAAGGUUGGGUAACACUAACUGGAGGACCGAACCGACUAAUGUUGAAAAAUUAGCGGAUGACUUGUGGCUGGGGGUGAAAGGCCAAUCAAACCGGGAGAUAGCUGGUUCUCCCCGAAAGCUAUUUAGGUAGCGCCUCGUGAAUUCAUCUCCGGGGGUAGAGCACUGUUUCGGCAAGGGGGUCAUCCCGACUUACCAACCCGAUGCAAACUGCGAAUACCGGAGAAUGUUAUCACGGGAGACACACGGCGGGUGCUAACGUCCGUCGUGAAGAGGGAAACAACCCAGACCGCCAGCUAAGGUCCCAAAGUCAUGGUUAAGUGGGAAACGAUGUGGGAAGGCCCAGACAGCCAGGAUGUUGGCUUAGAAGCAGCCAUCAUUUAAAGAAAGCGUAAUAGCUCACUGGUCGAGUCGGCCUGCGCGGAAGAUGUAACGGGGCUAAACCAUGCACCGAAGCUGCGGCAGCGACACUAUGUGUUGUUGGGUAGGGGAGCGUUCUGUAAGCCUGUGAAGGUGUGCUGUGAGGCAUGCUGGAGGUAUCAGAAGUGCGAAUGCUGACAUAAGUAACGAUAAAGCGGGUGAAAAGCCCGCUCGCCGGAAGACCAAGGGUUCCUGUCCAACGUUAAUCGGGGCAGGGUGAGUCGACCCCUAAGGCGAGGCCGAAAGGCGUAGUCGAUGGGAAACAGGUUAAUAUUCCUGUACUUGGUGUUACUGCGAAGGGGGGACGGAGAAGGCUAUGUUGGCCGGGCGACGGUUGUCCCGGUUUAAGCGUGUAGGCUGGUUUUCCAGGCAAAUCCGGAAAACCAAGGCUGAGGCGUGAUGACGAGGCACUACGGUGCUGAAGUGACAAAUGCCCUGCUUCCAGGAAAAGCCUCUAAGCAUCAGGUAACAUCAAAUCGUACCCCAAACCGACACAGGUGGUCAGGUAGAGAAUACCAAGGCGCUUGAGAGAACUCGGGUGAAGGAACUAGGCAAAAUGGUGCCGUAACUUCGGGAGAAGGCACGCUGAUAUGUAGGUGAAGCGACUUGCUCGUGGAGCUGAAAUCAGUCGAAGAUACCAGCUGGCUGCAACUGUUUAUUAAAAACACAGCACUGUGCAAACACGAAAGUGGACGUAUACGGUGUGACGCCUGCCCGGUGCCGGAAGGUUAAUUGAUGGGGUUAGCGGUAACGCGAAGCUCUUGAUCGAAGCCCCGGUAAACGGCGGCCGUAACUAUAACGGUCCUAAGGUAGCGAAAUUCCUUGUCGGGUAAGUUCCGACCUGCACGAAUGGCGUAAUGAUGGCCAGGCUGUCUCCACCCGAGACUCAGUGAAAUUGAACUCGCUGUGAAGAUGCAGUGUACCCGCGGCAAGACGGAAAGACCCCGUGAACCUUUACUAUAGCUUGACACUGAACAUUGAGCCUUGAUGUGUAGGAUAGGUGGGAGGCUUUGAAGUGUGGACGCCAGUCUGCAUGGAGCCGACCUUGAAAUACCACCCUUUAAUGUUUGAUGUUCUAACGUUGGCCCCUGAUCGGGGUUGCGGACAGUGUCUGGUGGGUAGUUUGACUGGGGCGGUCUCCUCCUAAAGAGUAACGGAGGAGCACGAAGGUUGGCUAAUCCUGGUCGGACAUCAGGAGGUUAGUGCAAUGGCAUAAGCCAGCUUGACUGCGAGCGUGACGGCGCGAGCAGGUGCGAAAGCAGGUCAUAGUGAUCCGGUGGUUCUGAAUGGAAGGGCCAUCGCUCAACGGAUAAAAGGUACUCCGGGGAUAACAGGCUGAUACCGCCCAAGAGUUCAUAUCGACGGCGGUGUUUGGCACCUCGAUGUCGGCUCAUCACAUCCUGGGGCUGAAGUAGGUCCCAAGGGUAUGGCUGUUCGCCAUUUAAAGUGGUACGCGAGCUGGGUUUAGAACGUCGUGAGACAGUUCGGUCCCUAUCUGCCGUGGGCGCUGGAGAACUGAGGGGGGCUGCUCCUAGUACGAGAGGACCGGAGUGGACGCAUCACUGGUGUUCGGGUUGUCAUGCCAAUGGCACUGCCCGGUAGCUAAAUGCGGAAGAGAUAAGUGCUGAAAGCAUCUAAGCACGAAACUUGCCCCGAGAUGAGUUCUCCCUGACUCCUUGAGGGUCCUGAAGGAACGUUGAAGACGACGACGUUGAUAGGCCGGGUGUGUAAGCGCAGCGAUGCGUUGAGCUAACCGGUACUAAUGAACCGUGAGGCUUAACCUU
This 2547-nucleotide ribosomal RNA is filed under the name Escherichia coli. RNAcentral describes it as "bacterial LSU rRNA". It matches the Rfam family "Bacterial large subunit ribosomal RNA", at positions 398 to 2925 of the family's 2925-position model. Lineage: Bacteria; Pseudomonadati; Pseudomonadota; Gammaproteobacteria; Enterobacterales; Enterobacteriaceae. The record is from RNAcentral.